Molecule: ribosomal RNA, 557 nt
Filed under: uncultured fungus
Lineage: Eukaryota; Fungi
Description: SSU rRNA
Rfam family: Eukaryotic small subunit ribosomal RNA
Source: RNAcentral
GGAAGGGGUGUAUUUAUUAGAUAAAAAACCAAUGCCCCUCGGGGCUCUCUGGUGAAUCAUGAUAACUAGUCGAAUCGACAGGCCUUGUGCCGGCGAUGGCUCAUUCAAAUUUCUUCCCUAUCAACUUUCGAUGUUUGGGUCUUGUCCAAACAUGGUGGCAACGGGUAACGGAGGGUUAGGGCUCGACCCCGGAGAAGGAGCCUGAGAAACGGCUACUACAUCCAAGGAAGGCAGCAGGCGCGCAAAUUACCCAAUCCCGACACGGGGAGGUAGUGACAAUAAAUACUGAUACAGGGCUCUUUUGGGUCUUGUAAUCGGAAUGAGUACAAUUUAAAUCCCUUAACGAGGAACAAUUGGAGGGCAAGUCUGGUGCCAGCAGCCGCGGUAAUUCCAGCUCCAAUAGCGUAUAUUAAAGUUGUUGUGGUUAAAAAGCUCGUAGUUGAACCUUGGGCCUGGCUGGCCGGUCCGCCUCACCGCGUGCACUGGUCCGGCCGGGCCUUUCCCUCUGCGGAACCCCAUGCCCUUCACUGGGUGUGGCGGGGAACCAGGACUUUUAC